GUCUAUAGCCAUACCACCCUGAACAUGCCUGAUCUCUUCUGAUCUCGGAGGCUAAGCAAGGUCAGGCUUGGUUAGUACUUGGAUGAGAGUACCUGGAUCCUAAUCUAAUAUAAUUA
RNAcentral lists this ribosomal RNA (116 nucleotides) under Chinchilla lanigera (long-tailed chinchilla). The record is from RNAcentral. Lineage: Eukaryota; Metazoa; Chordata; Mammalia; Rodentia; Chinchillidae.